AGAGUUUGAUCCUGGCUCAGGAUGAACGCUGGCGGUAUGCUUAACACAUGCAAGUCGAACGAAUCCCUUCGGGGAUUAGUGGCGGACGGGUGAGUAACGCGUGAGAAUUUACCAAAAGGAUUGGGACAACCACUGGAAACGGUGGCUAAUACCGGAUGAACCGAAAAGUAAAAAGGGAAACCUGCCUUUUGAAGAGCUCGCGUCUGAUUAGCUAGUUGGUGAGGUAAGAGCUCACCAAGGCAGCGAUCAGUAGCUGGUCUGAGAGGAUGACCAGCCACACUGGGACUGAGACACGGCCCAGACUCCUACGGGAGGCAGCAGUGGGGAAUUUUCCGCAAUGGGCGAAAGCCUGACGGAGCAAUACCGCGUGAGGGAAGAAGGCUCUUGGGUCGUAAACCUCUUUUAUCAGGGAAGAAAAAAAUGACGGUACCUGAAGAAUCAGCCUCGGCUAACUCCGUGCCAGCAGCCGCGGUAAUACGGAGGAGGCAAGCGUUAUCCGGAAUUAUUGGGCGUAAAGCGUCCGCAGGUGGCUUAUCAAGUCUGCUGUCAAAGAGUGGGGCUUAACCCCAUUAAGGCAGUGGAAACUGAGAAGCUAGAGUGCCGUAGGGGUAGAGGGAAUUCCCGGUGUAGCGGUGAAAUGCGUAGAGAUCGGGAAGAACAUCGGUGGCGAAAGCGCUCUACUGGACGGCAACUGACACUCAGGGACGAAAGCUAGGGGAGCGAAUGGGAUUAGAUACCCUAGUAGUCC
This 748-nucleotide ribosomal RNA is filed under the name uncultured bacterium. RNAcentral describes it as "bacterial SSU rRNA". It matches the Rfam family "Bacterial small subunit ribosomal RNA", at positions 8 to 796 of the family's 1533-position model. The record is from RNAcentral.